AAGAAAGGGGAGUAGAGCGGCAGUGCCGCCAGUGCUAGGGUUAGCAGCUUGGCGCCUGCUCCCUCCCGUCUUUGGCGGCGGCGCUUCAUCUGAUCCACAGAGGCAGCGCGAGAUCUGGUGGCAGGACGGCACAAGAUGAUGGCUGUGGCUGCUGCUGAGGGGUCUCCGUCGGUGCGGUAGCGGUGAGGUCAUCGUCGUCGUCUUGCUCAUAUCCUGCCUGCUGUGCGUGUGCAGCCUGAGCGCCAUUGUCAGUAGCGCCGUGGCCUGCUGUCGAGAGGAUUGUCUCUCUCGUUGAUGAUUGUUUCUCCUAUACUCUCUAUCCUUCGAUUGUUUUUUUUUUCAGAUUUCUAACACGUAAUCUUUGAAUGAUUGAAUCC
Molecule: small RNA, 377 nt
Filed under: Oryza sativa Japonica Group (Japanese rice)
Lineage: Eukaryota; Viridiplantae; Streptophyta; Magnoliopsida; Poales; Poaceae
Description: sRNA Os11g0311350
Source: RNAcentral